Long non-coding RNA from Patella vulgata (common limpet), 729 nucleotides. RefSeq lists it as uncharacterized. The record is from RefSeq and is a predicted model, not a curated record. NCBI's taxonomy places the organism in Eukaryota, Metazoa, Mollusca, Gastropoda, Patellidae. The transcript has 7 exons.
UAUUCGUGACAUUCGUGCUGAAACUGCCCGAAACAAAUAAUGUAAAUGUUUGUGAUACCAAGAUUGUGGAACACAAUCGUUAUCUGAUUUUGAUGAAACGUAAUCAAAUACAUUGCUAUAUCUUUUAUUGUGGAUAAAAUCAUCCAAACAGCUUCCGGUACAGGAAUCCUACGUAUGACACAAGUCCAGAACAGCCAACAAAUGACCAGAUUUUAUAUGGUAAUGAUAACUUGGUGAAAAAUCAGCAACAGAUUAGAGACAAUCAGACUAUGGAAAUACUAGAGAAUGAUCUGUAUAUUAGUGCUGAUGAUGAUCCUACACCAAAUAAAGUUGAUCACAGAGACAAUAAUCAAAUGGAAAUAAUGGAGAACGACCUAUAUAUCAGCGCUGAAGAUGAAACGAAUCCACGUGGAACAGGACUACAGGAUGAUGAAAUGGAAAUACUGGAGAAUGAUCUUUACAUCAGUGCUGAUGAUGACACAAAAACCGAUGGAAUAGAAACAAAACCAGCAAUGGAAAUACUUGAGAAUGAUCUGUAUAUACCUGCUGAAAUAGACACUCGUAUAUUUUAAGAUAAUAAACAGAAUCCUACUGAAUAAACCCGAGAUAGAACGUUAAUAUGAGACCAUUACCAAAUCUGAUCAACUCAGUUUAAUUUAUUUAUGUUAAUUUCGAAUUGUUCAGCCCAACUUUUAAAAACAUUAAAGUCGGUUCGGGGGGAAAUAGUCA